This 947-nucleotide long non-coding RNA is filed under the name Chloebia gouldiae (Gouldian finch). RNAcentral describes it as "Erythrura gouldiae (Gouldian finch) lncRNA (ENSEGOG00005006135.1)". The record is from RNAcentral. Lineage: Eukaryota; Metazoa; Chordata; Aves; Passeriformes; Passeridae.
CUUAUGGAUGUGGGGAAAAAAAAAAAGGCUUGGUUGUGGUCAUGUGUCAGUACCUGAUUUCCAUUGCCUGAUGUGCCAGAGUGAAAAUAUUUUGUUUUUCUCACUUCAGUGUGGAGGGCAGUGAGGCUCCACUGACAUGCUUGCUGGCAGUACCAGCAAAAAGCAAGGCUGGAGAGGGACUUUGGAGUAUCCUGUGGUGUUGGAUGUGCUGCCUUUAGUGAUGGAAAGAACUAAUCUGUAAUGAGGACCAGAUUCCAGUUUUGGAGCCCUGCUUGUGAUUCACACAGAGAUAGCAGGAACCCCCACAUCUGGGUGCCUGGCUGCACGUGUGCUUCCAGACUAACCCUGUCAUCCUUGCACAUCUAGCUGUGUCUAGGCAGUCAGAGAUACGAAUGUUGGGUUUUGUGCUGCCCUCAUCCCACUUUGCAGCUCUCAAAGGGAGAGGGAUUGUACCUCUAGCUGGAUGAAACCUGUGGGCUGCUUUUAAUACCAUCCUGACUCACCCCACCUUGUUGCCCACCUUGUUUAUAAAGAUACGCUGAUUCUCUCAUGGAAUAACUUUUUGCAUCUGUCCUUUUAUAUUAAAAAAUGCCUUCCGGGACAUGUUUUUUAAGCACAUCAAUGUCAAGAAUUAAAACGUGCCAAUCUGAAUCCAUGUGGACAACUUCUGGGCCAUUUAGAAGAAUCUGACAGAUGUGCUCUAUGAAAUGCUGGAUUUUGUAGAGAUACUGACCGAGCUUUAGUACUGCUGGAAGAAUAUUGCAAAAAACUGCGUAAGCCAGAAGAGCAACAACUGAAAAAAGCCAUCAGAAAGGUGAUGGGCAUCUUUAAGAGCAGCUUGUUUCAGGCACUCCUAGAACUGUUAACCUGGAUACAGAGGUGUGCAUGGUUACCAGGAAUGAAGUUAACAAAAUUAUGUGCCAAAUUCAGUUUUUGUAGCUCCUACA